GCCCGUGUAGCUCAGUUGGUCAGAGCAACCGCCUUGUAAGCGGUAGGUCGUGGGUUCGACUCCCACCGCGGGCU
RNAcentral lists this transfer RNA (74 nucleotides) under Acidimicrobiales bacterium. Its description in RNAcentral is "tRNA-Thr". It matches the Rfam family "tRNA". Rfam says of the family: Transfer RNA (tRNA) molecules are approximately 80 nucleotides in length. Their secondary structure includes four short double-helical elements and three loops (D, anti-codon, and T loops). The record is from RNAcentral. Lineage: Bacteria; Bacillati; Actinomycetota; Acidimicrobiia; Acidimicrobiales.